This 200-nucleotide long non-coding RNA is filed under the name Brassica napus (rape). RNAcentral's name for it is "long non-coding RNA (BNAP_LNC017825)". The record is from RNAcentral. Lineage: Eukaryota; Viridiplantae; Streptophyta; Magnoliopsida; Brassicales; Brassicaceae.
GCAACUCGGGCCAACUAAACUUCUCUGCACUUGCUGGCGCCUCCUGUGUUCUUUUAGCAUUUUGAAGUUGCCUUUACUUUGGUUUUCCCAACUGUUUGGGGUUAUUUUUCAGGGCCUAUUGGUUCCAAAUUGUUUCUUAGUCUCCAAGUCUUGUACUUGCGAUACACUAUUUGAAUCACCGUAAUGACAAAAAAAACCCA